UUAAAUACACAGACAGAAACCAAAAAAGAAAAAGAUGGAAAGCCAAAAGAAAAGAGAAACGAAUGAAGAUUGAAGAGAAAGGAAUUAGGGAGACAGAAAAAAACCACAUUGGAGAAAAGACCAAAAAAAAAAAUUUAGAAGAAAAAAGAAAAGAGGAAAAAGGAAAGAAGACUUAGAAAAAAGAAAGAGGAAAAGAAAAGUUUGUGAGAAACCAAGAAAGGGAAAACAAAGAGAAAGAAAGGAAAAAGAUGCAAAGAGUUUAGUUUGGGUUCUGUUCGAGUUUUCGGUGACGACGUCUAUACUUUCCUUUAGUUAAUUCAUCAUAUAGGUUUUAUUCGAUUUUAUACUCUUUAUUUUAUAAGUUUUUAUGAUAAACCAAAUCAUGCAUAAAGUUGAUUUAAAUGAUUUCAUGUGUUAUUUAACAUGUGUGUUUGAUUAAUUAUGUGAGUCAUUAUUGUUGAUAUGAAUCGUACGUUUAAGGUAUGAAACACGUAUACUUGCAUAUACAUUUAAGAGUUAAUAAGUAGUCAGAAGAAUUAGAUCAUAUUCAAAUUGAUUUUCUUCUAACAAAUAAAAGAAUAAAAAAGGCAUGACGAAAUUAAUUGAUUGUUAAAGAA
Molecule: long non-coding RNA, 617 nt
Filed under: Capsicum annuum
Lineage: Eukaryota; Viridiplantae; Streptophyta; Magnoliopsida; Solanales; Solanaceae
Description: long non-coding RNA (CANN_LNC003949)
Source: RNAcentral